AGAGGAGAAACGAAAGAAGACUCUUGGCAAGAAGCUUCAAUUCCGUUCCAUCCGCACAUUCACUCGGUUCCAUCCCACCCAUUCCACCCACUCCUUCGGUUCCACUCCAUCCAUUCCAUUCCAUCCACUCCACCCACUCCAUCCACUGCAUUUCACCCCUUUCCUCCCUGUAAUGAUUAUUAAGGUCCUGCUGCCUGCCAGACACUAUGUCUACACAGAGUUCCUCUUUUUGUCUCUACAGCAGUCACCCUUCCGUCCUCAUCUCUGAGAAGACCACAGCCACUGACUGAGUCAUAGAUUGCUGGCUGCACUUAGGACAGUGAAUCACUCUCACUGCUGUCUCCUGAUCCAGCCUCCCUGGGCCCAUCCAUACUUGAGGACUUUUUUUCCUCAGGCUACUCAUUUGAGCACAGUUCCCUGGAGAUUCAUCCACAGUUCUGUGUGCAUCAGCAGUUUAUUCCUUCCCUUCGUGGCGCAGUGUUCCACGGCCCAGGUGUCCAUUUGUUCCACUGGUCACCUGUUGAAGGACCGCAGGGCCGCCUCAGGUUUGGGGUUGUUGUGAAUACAGCUGCUGGAGCCAUUCACGUGCAGUGCGGGACGGUAUGGUUGCUGUAUGUUUUGUUUGAUGUGAGACUGCCAGACUGGUUUCCAUGGCAACUGUACCACCACACGUUCCCACCAGCACCGUGAGUGACCGAUUUCCCCAGCUUCUCCUAAGUAUUUGCUGUUCUCACUCGCUACUUUUUAUUUUAGCCAGUCUAGUAGGUGUGCAGGUUUUGUUUGCAUUUUCCUGACGGUUAGUGAUGUGGAAUAUCUUUUCAUGGGUUUCUUUGCCAUUCGUACAUCAUCUUUGGUGAGCUGUCUGUUCCUGUGGCUUGCCCGUUCUCUAAUAGGAUUGCUGUAUUUUCACUGGUUAACUCUGAGUUGUUAGGUAUGCUGGACAUCAUCUUGCUGUCAGAUACGCAGUAUGCCAGUGUUUCCCUCUGGCCUGUAGCUGUCUGUCCGUCCUCUUCACAGGGGCUCAUGCAGAGCUGAGGUCUUCAGUUUGAGUGAGGCUCCCUCCUAGAUAGCCCACUUCUAACCUGUUGACUUGAUCUCCAAACUUGCCUUGGCCUCUAACCCACUUUUCUCCGUGUCUGUGGGUCCCUUCUAAAACCGUGUGUUGUAGGCUGCUCCUCUCAUAGUCGAGAUGGCCCUCCCUUCCCACCCUGGAGGUGUUGGUAGAACCUUCCAGAGAAGGCCUCCUCCAGACCCUCCCCACAGGCACCCGCAGCCCAUCUCACGCUCUCCACCAGGCGUCAGACACGGCGGAUGGUGGCUUCCGAAACAGACAUGUCAGAAUCUGUCAUUUGUAGUCAGUUGCCAGUGGGCUUUAGAAUCUAGAUGUCAUGUUUUGUGCCUCGUUUGAAAUUUCCUCUUUGUUAUCCUGAGUUUUAUUUCAAGGGAUGGCAGGAGAUUGUCAUAUUACCGUUAGAAGAGCAUAUUCUGUUCUUGCUUUGGCCGGUUACAUGUGUUCUUAUACAUUAGUCUUAUUUUUCCUUCCUUUAAUGGCGGUGAUCGGCAUAGUGAAUUUAGGUGUUUACAAACCAUUGCUUGUUGGAAUUUUUUGUUAGCUUCUUAAUUCUUAUUGUCUGGGAGCAGGAAACUUCAUGAUAGAAAUAGUGACGCUUUUCCACAGCCUGCAAUCGAGGUCAGCCGCUGGGGCCACGAGCGUCCUCUGCAGACAGCGCAAGCGGCCAGCACUCACCCAGCCGGUAGCUGCCGGCUGCCACAGGUCAGACAGGUUUGCAGAGGGGAGCACUGAGUAAGGCGGAGUCUCCCGUUUCCCGUUUCCUGUGCAGGGGAUCCGGAGGAGAGACCACAGUUAUUAAAGAGAUUUUUGUAAACCAACAGAAAUGUCUUCUCUCUUUCCUCACAGCAGUGGGAGAUUCCAGACCUCAGCGUCAGAAAUGUAUUCGAACCCAGCAGCCUCAGUAGCGUAUUUGGCACGAAUGGGACUAAACCGACCAGCACGGCCAAGUUCCAUCUGGGUAAUGAGCCAAGAUUCUCUCCUCCCGCUGGAAGUGGGGUUUCAAACUCGGCAUUUCCUCAGAAAGAGGAGAAAACACAUGUUUUCAUGUCUCCUCUUCUCAGACCAUCUGAGCACCAGUCAGCCCCCGGCAUUAUCAGGUUCCUCGGAGCUCCGAGCCGACGAAUCUCCCCCGGAACCACAGGAGCACGUGGCUGACGAGCCUGCUCCGUGUCCUUGAGGCCACUGUGACCUUCGGGGUAUUUGACUUGAGCAAGUGUUUUCGGGAACCCAGAAGAGGAGUCUUCAGGGCUCUUUGGGGAAGGACUUGCAAGAGCAGAAUGCUAGUGUGAAGGGGGAAGAUAAACACGGACCACCCAGUGCCGUCCCUGGUCUGGUGGCAGAUACACAGGGGUGCAGUUCGCUGAGAAGUGGCUGUCGCGUUGCCAGCACUGAGAGCCCCGAGCACCACCUCCCACAGACACACUGGGACCCGGGUCCCCUCCUGCCCCAAAUGCCACCUCCUGCAGACACACAGGGACCUGGGUCCCCCCCUCCCCAUUACAGGGCUGUCCGUCAGCUGCUUGCAGAUGUCCGCUUCCACUGAAAGCCAGCUAAGAAUGCAGGAUUCUCAGCUUUAAAACAAACAAGAAUGCCUCGAUGGGGUCGUCAGCACCCCUGUUUUCCCACGGCCGGAGCUGCUGGCAGGCUGCUCCGUUUGCACACCGCCCUUCCCGCUUCAGUGUUGGUCGCCUCCCAGCCUGACAGCCACCUGAACCACGCCCUGCUUCCCGGCAGUCCUUAGUCUGCACUCCCGGCCGGCCCGCUCGCUAACCCUGCCCGUGGCCACAUGUCUCCGCGGAGCCCCCCUCGCAGCUGGCCCUGUCCGAAGCGUCUCCCACUGCACACCUGCUCCUCACCAGGGCACCCAGUCCAUUUCUGCUCUUUCCCACACUCAACAUGGACACUUGCUGUCAGGGCUGCCGAUGCCCGGGUGUACCUGGGCCACCCCGCAGGCCUGACACUGUUGCCGGCCACCCUUCUCUGUGCACGUCCUUCAUGCGUGACGUGGCAGCACCGUGCCUGGUUUCCUCCUGCCCCCUCCUCCCGGCCGGCUCCCCCUCCUUAGCCUGAACGUAAGGUGCCCCGCGCAGAUUCCCCUCUGGUCCCCAGCCUUUGAGACGGCCCGUCCGUUGAGGACCCAAGAUUCACAUGUCUGCAGUACUCCCGUCUUCCAGCUGCACACGCGCCAUGGGGUCCCCUUGACGUAUGCAGUGGGUGGCUCAGGUCCUGCAAAGUCAGCAAGCCAGGAGCGAGCUCCGUCCCCUCACCCCAGAGCUCACUCGGAGUCUCCGCUUGAGGAAGCACGGUCCGUCGGCUUAGUCGUCCCUUGUAUUCUGUCCUUCACUCCCCUCAUGUCUGACCCGUCACUAACCAGUCCACUUCUUGUCCAGAAUUCCCUGGAAUGCCUGGAACCCAGUGGCUUUCCCCAUGUCGACGGCCUCCACCCCCAGGGAACACAGCAUCGUGUCUUCCCUGGUACCUGCACAGCCCCCUCACUGGUCUACUGACUUCCACAGAUGGUCCCUUGCCCUGUCUGCACUCCUGGGGCAGACUGAAUGACCUUUUAAAGAAAUCUGUCUAGUCUUUUGCCCCUUCUUCUGGGGACCCACCCUGCUCCCCUCCCACCUGGGUAAAAGAGGAAGCCCUCCCCAAGGCCCAAAGCCCAGCCUGCCCAUCUCAGCCUCGCCUGUACCUUCCUCCUCGUCCACCCCUGCUGCAGCCCCAGGGCCUUUACACAUGCUGUUCACUCUGCCUAAAGCACCAUCCCUGCUCACCUUCCUGGCCACUCCCAGUGGCCCCUAUGUAUCAGCUCUGCCAUCAUUCCCCAAGGGACCUUCCCUUUCUGGACCAGGUGGACAUCACUCUGUGGUCGCCUCUUCCUUGGUGACACACCCCUUACGUGGUCCUUUAGUUCCUAUUUGUCUUUUCCACCAGACUGUCAGCUCAUGUGGUUUUGUUCAUCACAAAAUGCAUAGCAUGUGACAGAGGAGGAACUCAGUAAACACAGGAUGAAUGAAUGAGCUACAAAUAAUAGCCUUGUAGCUGGAAAUCAGAGGCUAGGAAGGACGAAUGGGAGAGCGAGGCUGUGGGGGCCGUAGGACUUGAACUCAGGUCUCUGAGACACCAGGGUCCGCCGCCCCGUCCUCACACACGUCCAUCCCUUCUCUGUUCUCUCCGGAGGAGGAUUCAGGGCUCCAUCUGCGUCCACCUGUGGUUCUCUGUUCUCAUUGCUGUUCGUGCCUCAAGAAAAGCAAACGUGGCAGGUUCCUGAGUCACAGUACGACACACAGUCCGCAGACACCCAGGAGGCUCAAUCGUUAAGAGAUUUGGAGGCAGUUGUUGAAACGUGUGGACGAGUAACCAGCCUCAUCAGCACGUCGCCAGACUGGAACCCUGCUCCCCCUUUCCACGUGGACCAGUGUCCUCACGCUGGGGGCUCCCAUGUCUGAGGACACAGUCCCCGCCCAGCUCUGGCGGCAGCUUCACUGCAGCUGGAGAGGGUGCACAGCUGGCUGGGUCCUGGGCGACAGGAGUUCCCUCUGGGGGAGGGGUGCCCUUGAGGAAAAUCAGGGUGCAGUGAGCCAGGAGGUGGGUCAGGUAAUGCUCUCCCGAGCUCGGGGCCAGGCGGGUGUGGGCCCAGAUCACACACUUGUGACCCCUUCAGUGGGGCUGCUUGUAGGUGAGCGUGAGGCAGGGGAACGGACGGAAAGGUGAGUCCGUGCGUCACAGGUGAGGGGUACGGAGGUCACCCAUCAGGAUCCUCCUGGGCAGCUCCGGGGGGCAGAAGCCAGGCCCCUUGACGCCUCCUUUACACUCCGAGUGGAACUGAUGACUGUUACUGGAAAAGAAGACGAAACGUUCGGCUUAUUAUUUGUAACAGUCCUCAAGCCGGACUCUAAACUAGAUGAGCCUUUCGCCAUGUUUUAAACCUGUACCAGCUCUUACAGAAGUGAAAAUAUUAUCUUCUUGGGAGGUGCCGCUGUGGGCCCCUCGGGGGCCGUGUCUCUGGUCGAGGAGCUGGUUACCCUCCAAUCUUCCAUCCAAGGACGUGUGUUAGGGGAGUCUGCCUUGUGGUUUGUGUUAUUAAAACAGUA
Long non-coding RNA from Hyaena hyaena (striped hyena), 5166 nucleotides. RefSeq lists it as uncharacterized. The transcript is spliced from 3 exons. The record is from RefSeq and is a predicted model, not a curated record. NCBI's taxonomy places the organism in Eukaryota, Metazoa, Chordata, Mammalia, Carnivora, Hyaenidae.